RNAcentral lists this small RNA (550 nucleotides) under Diaporthe sp. M54. RNAcentral describes it as "eukaryotic LSU rRNA". The stretch from base 235 to 388 matches the Rfam family "5.8S ribosomal RNA". Lineage: Eukaryota; Fungi; Ascomycota; Sordariomycetes; Diaporthales; Diaporthaceae. The record is from RNAcentral.
GAAGUAAAAGUCGUAACAAGGUCUCCGUUGGUGAACCAGCGGAGGGAUCAUUGUUGGAACGCGCUCCGGCGCAUCCAGACAACCCUUUGUGAACUUAUACCCAUACUGUUGCCUCGGCGUCAGGCUGGCCCCCCCCGGGGGGUCCCUCACCUCGGUGAGGAGCAGGCCCGCCGGCGGCCAAGUUAACUCUUGUUUUUACACUGAAACUCUGAGAAUAAAACAAAAAUGAAUCAAAACUUUCAACAACGGAUCUCUUGGUUCUGGCAUCGAUGAAGAACGCAGCGAAAUGCGAUAAGUAAUGUGAAUUGCAGAAUUCAGUGAAUCAUCGAAUCUUUGAACGCACAUUGCGCCCUCUGGUAUUCCGGAGGGCAUGCCUGUUCGAGCGUCAUUUCAACCCUCAAGCCUGGCUUGGUGAUGGGGCACUGCCUUUGAGAAAAGGGCAGGCCCUGAAAUUCAGUGGCGAGCUCGCCAGGACCCCGAGCGCAGUAGUUAAACCCUCGCUUUGGAAGGUCUUGGUGCGGCCCUGCCGUUAAACCCCCAACUUCUGAAA